UGAGGAACAUGACCUUCGGCGGGGGAUAGCCGGCCCAACGGCCGGGUAAUACCGCGUACGACCACAUGGGGACAUCCCUGGGUGGUGAAAGCAGCAAUGCGCCGAUGGAGUGCCUCGCGGCCUAUCAGCUAGUUGGUGAGGUAACGGCUCACCAAGGCGACGACGGGUAGCUGGUCUGAGAGGAUGAUCAGCCACACUGGGACUGAGACACGGCUCAGAUCCUACGGGG
This 229-nucleotide ribosomal RNA is filed under the name uncultured bacterium. RNAcentral's name for it is "partial 16S ribosomal RNA". It matches the Rfam family "Bacterial small subunit ribosomal RNA", at positions 118 to 346 of the family's 1533-position model. The record is from RNAcentral.